CGUUGGUCACGCCGAGCAGCACAUCCUUUUCCUGCUGCGCAAAGCCCUUAACGGAAUUGACGAGGUUCGGCACCAGAUCGGCGCGGCGCUGAUACUGGUUCACGACUUCUGACCAUGCCGACUUCACCGAUUCAUCGUUCUGCUGGAUCGCAUUGUAUCCGCAAUUGGUGAGGCUCAGCGACGCGAGCGCUGCAAGGACGGUCAAAAUCUUGCGCAUAAAUAUCUCCAGUAAAACGCCGAAC
This 242-nucleotide unclassified non-coding RNA is filed under the name Hevea brasiliensis (rubber tree). Lineage: Eukaryota; Viridiplantae; Streptophyta; Magnoliopsida; Malpighiales; Euphorbiaceae. The record is from RNAcentral.